RNAcentral lists this transfer RNA (87 nucleotides) under Muiribacterium halophilum (SeqCode). Its description in RNAcentral is "bacterium BM706 tRNA-Leu". It matches the Rfam family "tRNA". Rfam says of the family: Transfer RNA (tRNA) molecules are approximately 80 nucleotides in length. Their secondary structure includes four short double-helical elements and three loops (D, anti-codon, and T loops). Lineage: Bacteria; Candidatus Muiribacteriota; Muiribacteriia (SeqCode); Muiribacteriaceae (SeqCode). The record is from RNAcentral.
GUCCGGGUGGUGGAAUUGGUAGACACGUAUGGUUGAGGGCCAUAUGGCAAAUUUGCUGUAGGAGUUCAAGUCUCCUCCCGGACACCA